Molecule: long non-coding RNA, 424 nt
Organism: Vespula vulgaris
Lineage: Eukaryota; Metazoa; Arthropoda; Insecta; Hymenoptera; Vespidae
Exons: 2
Source: RefSeq, a predicted model, not a curated record
AUCGAACCCGCGACCUUCGCGUUAUUAGCACGACGCUCUAACCAACUGAGCUAAUGGGCCGGCUAGAAGGUUUUUCACAGUGGUAAAAGUCUGUCUUCGCUGUAUAUUACUAUUGAACCUGCAUCAAUAUAAUCUGAAGAUUCAAUUAAUAAAUCAUCAUUCAAUAUAUUUUUUGCAUUCUCGUUCGAAACUAUUCCUUGACAUCCGCAGCAAACAGAAUCCUGUAAAAAAAUAUUAAGCGUUACAAAGAAUAACAAUUGUUGACUUAUUAUGCAUGCACCAUAAACACACAAUCGCAAACAAGCGUACGGAAAUUAUUUUGUUUAUAUCAAGUAUUUGUAAGAAUAAUUAACUUACCAUGUUUAUGUAAGAAACAGAAUAGAUUAAUGGCAAAAUAUAUAUAUAUUGUAUUAUCACAAUGAAA